RNAcentral lists this unclassified non-coding RNA (378 nucleotides) under plant metagenome. RNAcentral's name for it is "partial contains 5.8S ribosomal RNA, internal transcribed spacer 2, and large subunit ribosomal RNA". The stretch from base 1 to 105 matches the Rfam family "5.8S ribosomal RNA", at positions 50 to 154 of the family's 154-position model. The record is from RNAcentral.
GAAAUGCGAUAAGUAAUGUGAAUUGCAGAAUUCAGUGAAUCAUCGAAUCUUUGAACGCACCUUGCGCUCCUUGGUAUUCCUUGGAGCAUGCCUGUUUGAGUAUCAUGAAAUCUUCAAAGUAAAUCUUUUGUUAACUCAAUUGGUUUCUACUUUGGUAUUGGAGGUCUUUGCAGCUUCACACCUGCUCCUCUUUGUUCAUUAGCUGGAUCUCAGUGUUAUGCUUGGUUCCACUCGGCGUGAUAAGUUAUCUAUCGCUGAGGACACUGUAAAAGGUGGCCAAGGUAAAUGCAGAUGAACCGCUUCUAAUAGUCUAUUGACUUGGACAAUACUUUUAUGAUCUGAUCUCAAAUCAGGUAGGACUACCCGCUGAACUUAAGC